Molecule: ribosomal RNA, 769 nt
Filed under: Escherichia coli
Lineage: Bacteria; Pseudomonadati; Pseudomonadota; Gammaproteobacteria; Enterobacterales; Enterobacteriaceae
Description: partial 23S ribosomal RNA
Rfam family: Bacterial large subunit ribosomal RNA
Source: RNAcentral
GACUCAGUGAAAUUGAACUCGCUGUGAAGAUGCAGUGUACCCGCGGCAAGACGGAAAGACCCCGUGAACCUUUACUAUAGCUUGACACUGAACAUUGAGCCUUGAUGUGUAGGAUAGGUGGGAGGCUUAGAAGUGUGGACGCCAGUCUGCAUGGAGCCGACCUUGAAAUACCACCCUUUAAUGUUUGAUGUUCUAACGUUGACCCGUAAUCCGGGUUGCGGACAGUGUCUGGUGGGUAGUUUGACUGGGGCGGUCUCCUCCUAAAGAGUAACGGAGGAGCACGAAGGUUGGCUAAUCCUGGUCGGACAUCAGGAGGUUAGUGCAAUGGCAUAAGCCAGCUUGACUGCGAGCGUGACGGCGCGAGCAGGUGCGAAAGCAGGUCAUAGUGAUCCGGUGGUUCUGAAUGGAAGGGCCAUCGCUCAACGGAUAAAAGGUACUCCGGGGAUAACAGGCUGAUACCGCCCAAGAGUUCAUAUCGACGGCGGUGUUUGGCACCUCGAUGUCGGCUCAUCACAUCCUGGGGCUGAAGUAGGUCCCAAGGGUAUGGCUGUUCGCCAUUUAAAGUGGUACGCGAGCUGGGUUUAGAACGUCGUGAGACAGUUCGGUCCCUAUCUGCCGUGGGCGCUGGAGAACUGAGGGGGGCUGCUCCUAGUACGAGAGGACCGGAGUGGACGCAUCACUGGUGUUCGGGUUGUCAUGCCAAUGGCACUGCCCGGUAGCUAAAUGCGGAAGAGAUAAGUGCUGAAAGCAUCUAAGCACGAAACUUGCC